Non-coding RNA from Lactuca sativa (garden lettuce), 497 nucleotides. NCBI's taxonomy places the organism in Eukaryota, Viridiplantae, Streptophyta, Magnoliopsida, Asterales, Asteraceae. The record is from RefSeq and is a predicted model, not a curated record.
UUUAUUGUUGAUGGUUUGCAUUAUGGAGUUUCAGACUUCCCGUAUGCUGCUUAUUCCAUGGUAUGCUUUUUUUUAGACAUGAAUAUAAAAUUACAUAUUUGCCCUUGGAUUAAUAUGUUUUCACUGUAGAUGCUUGUUGGGAUUUUAUCGUCUGUAAUUGCAACUUGUUAUGAGAUGGCCAAAACCAUUGCAUUUUGCAAUAGUUGAUGAACUUGAUUAUGUCCUAAUUGAUGAGGGAAGAAACCCAUUGCUGAUAAGGGGUGAGGCUAGCAAGGAUGCUGCACGUAACACAGUUGCUGCUAAAGUAGCUGAGCUUCUCAUGCGUGGCCUCGUAUUUUACUUUUUUGCCCUUCUUUUUCCUUUUUGAUGUCUUGUUAUCCAUCUCCAUUGUAUGCGUAUCUCAUUGUUUGUUCCACUACACAUCAUGUAAAUUUAUAUAUUGUAACAAAUAGAAUUGUAAGACAUUAAAUUUUAUGAAAUGGAUUAUAUUUUUUGUA